RNAcentral lists this ribosomal RNA (428 nucleotides) under uncultured bacterium. Its description in RNAcentral is "partial 16S ribosomal RNA". It matches the Rfam family "Bacterial small subunit ribosomal RNA", at positions 354 to 796 of the family's 1533-position model. The record is from RNAcentral.
GUAGGGAAUAUUGCGCAAUGGACGAAAGUCUGACGCAGCGACGCCGCGUGAGUGAUGAAGGCCUUAGGGUCGUAAAGCUCUGUUGAAUGGGAAGAAAAAAAUGACGGUACCAUUCGAGGAAGGACCGGCUAACUUCGUGCCAGCAGCCGCGGUAAUACGAGGGGUCCUAGCGUUGUUCGGAAUCAUUGGGCGUAAAGGGUGUGUAGGUGGCCAUGUAAGUCAGGUGUGAAAGCCCCGGGCUCAACCCGGGAAGUGCACUUGAUACUGCGUGGCUUGAGUACCGAAGAGGGUAGUGGAAUUCCAGGUGUAGUGGUGAAAUACGUAGAUAUAGGAAGGAACACCAGUGGCGAAGGCGGGUAACUGGACGAACACUGACACUGAGGCCCGAAAGCGUGGGGAUCAAACAGGAUUAGAAACCCCAGUAGUCC